RNAcentral lists this ribosomal RNA (384 nucleotides) under Triticum aestivum (bread wheat). RNAcentral describes it as "partial small subunit ribosomal RNA". Lineage: Eukaryota; Viridiplantae; Streptophyta; Magnoliopsida; Poales; Poaceae. The record is from RNAcentral.
AUGGGCAAGGACAAUAUUGCUAAUUUACUAACCUCUAUAAGAAACACCGACAUGAAUAAGAAAGGAACAGUUUGUGUCGUAUCUACAAGUAUUAUCGAAAAUAUUGUUAAAUUACUUCUACGAGAGGGUUUUACUGAAAUUGUUCAGAACCAUCAGGAACCUAAUCGAUAUUUCUUGGUUUCAACUUUUAGUCAUCAAAAGAGAAAGACUAGAAAAGGAUUAUAUAGAAUACAAAUCUUUUUUAAGCGUAUCAGCCGACCAAGCUUAGGAAUUUGUACCAACUAUCAGGGAAUUCCUAAAGUGUUGUGUGGAAUGGCUGUCAUUCUUUCUACUUUUUGAGGGAUAAUGACAGAUCGAGAAGCUUGGCAGGUGUUACUGUUUUGA